ACGAACGCUGGCGGCGUGCUUAACACCUGCAAGUCGCACGGAAAGGCCCUGCUUUUGUGGGGUGCUCGAGUGGCGAACGGGUGAGUAACACGUGAGUAACCUGCCCUUGACUUUGGGAUAACUUCAGGAAACUGGGGCUAAUACCGGAUAGGAGCUCCUGCUGCAUGGUGGUGGUUGGAAAGUUUCGGCGGUUGGGGAUGGACUCGCGGCUUAUCAGCUUGUUGGUGGGGUAGUGGCUUACCAAGGCUUUGACGGGUAGCCGGCCUGAGAGGGUGACCGGCCACAUUGGGACUGAGAUACGGCCCAGACUCCUACGGGAGGCAGCAGUGGGGAAUAUUGCACAAUGGGCGGAAGCCUGAUGCAGCAACGCCGCGUGCGGGAUGACGGCCUUCGGGUUGUAAACCGCUUUCGCCUGUGACGAAGCGUGAGUGACGGUAAUGGGUAAAGAAGCACCGGCUAACUACGUG
RNAcentral lists this ribosomal RNA (467 nucleotides) under uncultured bacterium. RNAcentral's name for it is "partial 16S ribosomal RNA". It matches the Rfam family "Bacterial small subunit ribosomal RNA", at positions 29 to 507 of the family's 1533-position model. The record is from RNAcentral.